Molecule: ribosomal RNA, 584 nt
Filed under: uncultured bacterium
Lineage: Bacteria
Description: bacterial SSU rRNA
Rfam family: Bacterial small subunit ribosomal RNA
Source: RNAcentral
CCUACGGGAGGCAGCAGUGGGGAAUUUUGGACAAUGGGCGAAAGCCUGAUCCAGCCAUGCCGCGUGCAGGAUGAAGGCCUUCGGGUUGUAAACUGCUUUUGUACGGAACGAAAAGGUCUUUUCUAAUAAAGAAGGCUCAUGACGGUACCGUAAGAAUAAGCACCGGCUAACUACGUGCCAGCAGCCGCGGUAAUACGUAGGGUGCGAGCGUUAAUCGGAAUUACUGGGCGUAAAGCGUGCGCAGGCGGUUAUAUAAGACAGUUGUGAAAUCCCCGGGCUCAACCUGGGAACUGCAUCUGUGACUGUAUAGCUAGAGUACGGUAGAGGGGGAUGGAAUUCCGCGUGUAGCAGUGAAAUGCGUAGAUAUGCGGAGGAACACCGAUGGCGAAGGCAAUCCCCUGGACCUGUACUGACGCUCAUGCACGAAAGCGUGGGGAGCAAACAGGAUUAGAUACCCUGGUAGUCCACGCCCUAAACGAUGUCAACUGGUUGUUGGGUCUUCACUGACUCAGUAACGAAGCUAACGCGUGAAGUUGACCGCCUGGGGAGUACGGCCGCAAGGUUGAAACUCAAGGAAUUGACGG